This 70-nucleotide transfer RNA is filed under the name Dipodomys ordii (Ord's kangaroo rat). It matches the Rfam family "tRNA". From Rfam's summary of the family: Transfer RNA (tRNA) molecules are approximately 80 nucleotides in length. Their secondary structure includes four short double-helical elements and three loops (D, anti-codon, and T loops). The record is from Rfam by way of RNAcentral. Lineage: Eukaryota; Metazoa; Chordata; Mammalia; Rodentia; Heteromyidae.
GGGAAGGUGGCUCAGUGGUAGAGUGCUUGCCUUGCAUGCAUGAGGCCCUGGGUUCAAUUCCCCCACACCA